GGAUGCGUGGCAGAGCGGUUGAAUGCACCGAGUUGGAAGCUCGGCAGACCUCGCAAGGGGUCUCGAAGGUUCGAAUCCUUCCGCAUCCG
This 89-nucleotide transfer RNA is filed under the name Candidatus Competibacteraceae bacterium. RNAcentral's name for it is "tRNA-Ser". It matches the Rfam family "tRNA". Rfam says of the family: Transfer RNA (tRNA) molecules are approximately 80 nucleotides in length. Their secondary structure includes four short double-helical elements and three loops (D, anti-codon, and T loops). Lineage: Bacteria; Pseudomonadati; Pseudomonadota; Gammaproteobacteria; Candidatus Competibacteraceae. The record is from RNAcentral.